RNAcentral lists this long non-coding RNA (896 nucleotides) under Oreochromis niloticus (Nile tilapia). RNAcentral describes it as "lncRNA (ENSONIG00000033347.1)". The record is from RNAcentral. Lineage: Eukaryota; Metazoa; Chordata; Actinopteri; Cichliformes; Cichlidae.
CCACUAAUCAAUACAACCACUAACUAAUCUUCAUUCUGGAUAAUAAUAAUAAUUAAAUUCCAGUCAUAUCUCUUACUGUAGCAGUAACACUGUAGGCCAAACUGCCUCAUCGGCUUAUCUGUAAUCGUUUUUCUUUUUUGAAGGAGGAGCUUAUGGGAAACUGAUGUCUGUCUUUGUUUUUCAGUCUCUGUAGAGUAUAUAAAUGGAUACAUUUAUGUGUAGUGUCACUAUCUGGGAAAACAAAUCUUCACAUUAUGAUGAAGCUGAUUCUUUCCCUGACUCUCUUCUGCGGAAUCUGCAGCACAGCGGGAGCCCUUCAGUGUUUAACCUGCAAAGAUGUGACAUGUUUAACUACAAACCCAGUUAUGUGCACUAUAGAGAAGGCCUGCGUGACAGCUUCUAUUCUAGUGACAUCAUCUGGAAUUAAGGUACCACAAAUCAUCAGGGGUUGUGCACCAGACUUCGCGUGUCCAGUCUUAGGCUCUCAGACAUAUUCAGCAAACCUGGGUAUUUUGAGCGCAGCUGCAUCUGUUGAAUGCUGCAACAAAAACGACUGCAACUUAAAUAUUUUGCCUGUCCCUGCAGAUCAGAGCGAGAACAAUCUGAAGUGUUUUUCAUGUGACCCCGGCUCCACUCAGUGUAACUCUACAGUGAAGUGUAGUGGAGUAGAGAAUCGCUGCUUUCAAGCAUUUGUGCCAUCAGGUAUCAGCACUUCAGUUCCAGUCAAGGGCUGCAUGUCUGAAAACAUCUGUACAGCAGUGUCCAACCUGUCAAGUCUCCCUGUCUUGAAUCUUGGGAACGUCAGCUGUUGUGAUAACAAUUUGUGUAAUACUGCUCUAACAACAACAACAACAUUCAUCUAUCUUCUAUUUGGACUCAUCUAUAUUAUCUAUUAG